CCCUUAGAUGUUCUGGGCCGCACGCGCGCUACACUGACGAAUGCAACGAGCUUAUAACCUUGGCCGAAAGGUCUGGGUAAUCUCCAAAUUUCGUCGUGAUGGGGAUAGAUUAUUGCAAUUAUUAAUCUUCAACGAGGAAUGCCUAGUAAGCGUAAGUCAUCAGCUUGCGUUGAUUACGUCCCUGCCCUUUGUACACACCGCCCGUCGCUCCUACCGAUUGAAUGGUCCGGUGAAGCGUUCGGACCGUGGCCUUUGGACGGUUCGCCGUCUGUUGGCUGCGGGAAGUUCGUUAAACCUUAUCAUUUAGAGGAAGGAGAAGUCGUANCA
Molecule: ribosomal RNA, 327 nt
Filed under: uncultured eukaryote
Lineage: Eukaryota
Description: partial 18S ribosomal RNA
Rfam family: Eukaryotic small subunit ribosomal RNA
Source: RNAcentral